AUGCGCGCGACCUCAGAGCGCGAGAGGCCGAGGCCGGUGAGCCCGUCGACGACGGGGGCCAGGGUUCCCUCCACUUUGGCGCGGAGUAACAGCGGGUCCUUGGCGACGGCGGUGGCGACGUCGGCGGCGGAGAGGCCGAGGCCGGCGAGGAAGGCGAGGACGGCGUCGGGCUUGGCGGGGGACUUGAGGUGGGAGAGCUUGGGGGAGGCCUUGAGGGCCUGGGCUCGGGUCAAGCCGCAGGCGGAGACGAGGUAG
RNAcentral lists this ribosomal RNA (255 nucleotides) under Triticum aestivum (bread wheat). Its description in RNAcentral is "partial small subunit ribosomal RNA". The record is from RNAcentral. Lineage: Eukaryota; Viridiplantae; Streptophyta; Magnoliopsida; Poales; Poaceae.